CAGUCGGCUGUGGGUUGUUACCUCAUGCAAUGCAGGUCGGGCGCGCCCGCGCGGCGCGCGUCACGCAUCAGACCUCUAAUCGGAAAAGACUACCCGCUGAGUU
This 103-nucleotide ribosomal RNA is filed under the name Neckeropsis andamana. RNAcentral describes it as "partial 26S ribosomal RNA". Lineage: Eukaryota; Viridiplantae; Streptophyta; Bryopsida; Hypnales; Neckeraceae. The record is from RNAcentral.